This 2372-nucleotide long non-coding RNA is filed under the name Homo sapiens (human). RNAcentral describes it as "HSALNT0303847". Lineage: Eukaryota; Metazoa; Chordata; Mammalia; Primates; Hominidae. The record is from RNAcentral.
AGGUUCUGGACUACGGACAACAGAUUGAUAUGUGGUGGUAGUGAUUAUCUUCGUUUCUAGGUGAUACCAUUGAAGCCCAGACACAACAUGUAACUUGCCCAAAUUUACCCAGAUGUAAGCGGUGGAGACAGGAUUAGAAACCUGCAACUCUGAAGACUCAGGACAACGAAACAAAACCCUAAUGCCCUGAAUUCCCAAGGAAAUGACCUAAGGUUCUCUUUCUGUCGUGAAGCUAGGAGACCUCUGAGAUGGGAGUCAGUGUGAGGUCUCCAGAGAUGUAAAUUUAUAAUUGAGGUGUCACCUGUUAAGAUGUGGGCAUAUUUGAGGGGCCAUUAUUCGGCCUCUCCUAGCCAGAACUGCAUCUGACAAAGAAUCCAAAGAAAAUAAGACAUACUCAUAAAGAAUCCAGAGUAUGAAAACUUAGAAAAAAUUCAGUGCUCUAAAAGCUCUCCAUGUUUGAAGUUUGUGUUGUGAUUUUUCCCAGUGAUGAUCUCAAAAAUAAAAAUCCUCAUGGUUUAUAUUUGAGGGCCACAAGGAAUCAGGGAGCUGGAGGAGACUGCGUUCCACCUGGCAUCUAGUUUUGCUGCGAAAGCAACCCAUGGAGAUAAUCAAACAACUUGGCAACAAGUCAUAUGGAAGAGGGAGGAAAAAAAGACUAACUUCCCAGAGCUGGAGGGAAAGCAGAAAGCCAUGCUUAAGCUCUCAUCAGUGGGAGCCAUUCCAUCCCAGGAUCCUUUCAGCAACCAAUUUGGAAGUCUAGGCUUUUCAGUAAAUAGUUUUAUCUUGUGUUUCGAAAAAGCCACACUUCAUCUUCUGAGCCUCAUAUUCUCUUACAUGAAGUUACUAAAUAAAUCUGUAUUUCUUUUAUUUCUUUUACUUUUUUUUUUUUUUUUUUUUUUUUUUUUUGAGACAGGGUCUCACUGUGUUGCACAGGCUGGAGUGCCGUGGUGAGAUCACGGCUCAGUGCAGCUUCAAAAUCCUGGGCUCAAAAGAUCCUCCAGCCUUAGCCUUCCCAGUAGCUGGGACUACUGGUGCAUGUGACCACGUCUACCUAAUUUUUAAUUUUAUUUUUUUGUAGAAACAGGGUCUUGCUGUGUUGCCCAGACUAGUUUGGAACUCCUGGCCUCAUGCAAUGCUCCCAACCUUGGCCUCCCAAAGUGCUGGGAUUACAGGCACGAGCCACGGCACCAGGCAUUCCCCGCCCCACAAUGAUUUAUACGGCUAAUGGUACUCCAAAUCUGAUAGAAAAGAAUCCAGUCUGCUCCUACUUCUUCACUUCCAGUGCUAACCAAGCAUAAGCCUCAACCUCUCUUGCCGGAGCUGGUAAAAUUGGCAUCUAUCUAAUCUCCUCACUUCGUCUUUUGUCCCAACAUAGUCCAUUCUCCACACAGAAGCCAGAUCUUCUGAAAAAUGAAGCCUGAUGUCAACAUUUCCCUGUUGAAAGCUUUCUGACAUUUUCGUAGACCUGUCUAACCACAGUCUUUAAGAGGCCCCAUGUGGGCUGGCCACCUUGCACCUCUCCACACCCAUCUUACAUAUCACACCUCCAUUACAUUUCAACCAUGCGGUUUUUUUGUCUGUUCUUUGAACACAGCAAGCUCGGGCCUUUGUGCUGGCUGUACCCUCUGACUGGAAAACCUGGUCCCCUCCCCAUGCCAUUCCCAUACCACUAACUCCUGAAGGUGGAUCUGUUCUCUGCUCAAAGUUCACCUUCUCAGAGCGGCACUGCAUGGCCACAGCUCUGGUACUUUCUAAUUCUUCUGAUUCAUCACUGUGCUUUGAUUGUCUUUAUAUCACUUAUCUUUCUCUGAAAUUAUUUUGUCCAUAUAUUAACAUACUGGUUUGUCAUCUAUACAUACUACUCCCAGCUCUCCCUAGCCCUACUCCCACCUCACAGCACAAUGUAAAUGCUGACUGAGUAGGGAUGAAAUCUACCUUAUUAAUUGUGGCUGAAUUCCCAGAUGCCAGAAUAGUGUCAAAUACAUAGUAGGGACUUCAUAAAUAUUUUAAAACAUUUUUGAAACUAUAAAUUUAAGGGAUUAUAUAUAUUUUUCAAAAGAUUCCUUAUGAGAAUACUGUUUUAAAUAGUGAAUAGAUUUAUUUGUAAUAGUAUUUCAGCUACACUUCAUACCUUAGUUUCUUAAGAAACUAUAAAAUGAGAGCUGGGUUAGAUGACAAACAAGGUCCUUUCCAGUAAUUAUAGUUCCGUGAUUAUGACUGAAAUAAAAAAAAUUAAAGCUAAUUUUCAAAAGGACAGUUGCUAAGUAAAGUGGUGUCCACCUCUGUAAUUUAAAAAAUGACUCAUUUCUGUCUGAUUCAUCUAGAGUAGAAAGUAUCUCUUAACUCUUUUGCUGCAGGCCUCUCUGUUCACC